This is a long non-coding RNA of Rhea pennata, 101 nucleotides long. RefSeq lists it as uncharacterized. The record is from RefSeq and is a predicted model, not a curated record. Lineage: Eukaryota; Metazoa; Chordata; Aves; Rheiformes; Rheidae. The transcript is spliced from 3 exons.
UCAGGAUCAGGACUGUGUGUGGUUGUCAGCCCUUGCUUUUGCUGCUUUGUGCAAUUUGUGCAAUACAACUAGAUCCUUGUGGCAGAUACCACAGAAGCCUU